RNAcentral lists this ribosomal RNA (461 nucleotides) under uncultured bacterium. RNAcentral's name for it is "partial 16S ribosomal RNA". It matches the Rfam family "Bacterial small subunit ribosomal RNA", at positions 338 to 795 of the family's 1533-position model. The record is from RNAcentral.
CCUACGGGUGGCAGCAGUGAGGAAUAUUGGUCAAUGGGCGGGAGCCUGAACCAGCCAAGUCGCGUGAGGGAAGACGGUCCUAUGGAUUGUAAACCUCUUUAGGCGGGGAGCAAUGCCGGGCACGUGUGCCCGGAGGGAGAGUACCCGCAGAAUAAGCAUCGGCUAACUCCGUGCCAGCAGCCGCGGUAAUACGGAGGGGGCAAGCGUUAUCCGGAUUUACUGGGUGUAAAGGGAGCGUAGACGGCAUAGCAAGUCUGAAGUGAAAGCCCAAGGCUCAACCAUGGGACUGCUUUGGAAACUGUUAAGCUAGAGUGCUGGAGAGGUAAGCGGAAUUCCUAGUGUAGCGGUGAAAUGCGUAGAUAUUAGGAAGAACACCAGUGGCGAAGGCGGCUUACUGGACAGUAACUGACGUUGAGGCUCGAAAGCGUGGGGAGCAAACAGGAUUAGAUACCCGAGUAGUC